RNAcentral lists this ribosomal RNA (468 nucleotides) under uncultured bacterium. Its description in RNAcentral is "partial 16S ribosomal RNA". It matches the Rfam family "Bacterial small subunit ribosomal RNA", at positions 28 to 507 of the family's 1533-position model. The record is from RNAcentral.
GACGAACGCUGGCGGCGUGCUUAACACAUGCAAGUCGAACGGAAACGCCCUGCUUUUGUGGGGUUCUCGAGUGGCGAACGGGUGCGUAACACGUGAGUAACCUGCCCUUGACUUUGGGAUAACUUCAGGAAACUGGGGCUAAUACCGGAUAGGAGCUCUUGCUGCAUGGUGGGCGUUGGAACGUUUCGGCUGUUGGGGAUGGACUCGCGGCUUAUGAGCUUGUUGGUGGGCUAGUGGCUUACCAAGGCUUUGACGGGUAGCCGGCCUGAGAGGGUGACCGGGCACAUUGGGACUGAGAGACGGACCAGACUGCAACGGGAGGCAGCAGUGGGGAAUAUGGCACAAUGGGCGGAAGCCUGAUGAAGAAACGCCGCGUGCGGGAUGACGGCCUUCGGGGUGUAAACCGCUUUCGCCUGUGACGAAGCGUGAGUGACGGUAAUGGGUAAAGAAGCACCGGCUAACUACGUG